CGCGGACAAUGUGGAACGGUGUGAAAUGUGUUACUGUGGCUGGUUUGCCCAAGCCUGGCUCUCUCGGUGGUUCCGUUAGCACAGUGGCGACAUAAGGUUGGUGACCCUAAAUUGCUCGUAGGCGUGAAAACGAGAGGGAAUGGCUGGCUGCCAACCUGUCCAGGGCGUACCCCGCCUCUCACCUAAUGUCAGACCCUAUGGACCCUACCUUAAACUCCAUACCUCCAGACUGCAACACAGCUAAAACCCAAACUGAGAUGACUUUAAUAACAUUAUCAGUUAUUUGUUUAAAGUCGAAGGAUAUUUGAGACACUGCCCCAACGACACAUGCUUAAAUAAAAUCUAGAGGAGUAAUAUUUUUCCCCAGUGUAAUCUGAACCUCGCAGUUUAGACAGAAUAAAACUACAAGCAAAAUAGUUUAUCACACAGUGCAUCAUUUUCAUUGCCCUUAAACCAGAAAUGUGCAGUUUCUUAUUCAUCCCCUGAAGCUUUUAUGAUUCAGAGGCUUGGGUCAUGUUGGGCAGUCUUUGAACCAAUGCUUUUGUUGCCCAAAGAAUUCACAUUUCUGGGCUUGUGCCCAAAUCUAAUCCCUAAUACUGGAAUUCUAGUAUUAGUGAAGUGGGUAAGUGCUCUGGCACCUUCUAACACCGCUCUAUGUCUGCCAAGUCAUGGAACCACAACCUGGCAAAGCAGUCUCAACAAUUUUCAUUUUGCUCAGUGGGCCUCAAUUGGCAUUUAUUUGAAAGUCAUUCCAACAAGCUGUACUUAACAAUAGAUGACUGACAGUUCUCUCCUUCACUCCAACAUCAACAAAUUGCAAAUACACCAUGUAAACACAUAAUCUGAAAUAAAGAGGAGUUUACCACUAGAUUUAAUUACAUUUUGCAUGACUCAUGAUUGAACUAUGAUUAGAGUUAAGGUGGUGC
Long non-coding RNA from Lates calcarifer (barramundi perch), 926 nucleotides. RefSeq lists it as uncharacterized. The record is from RefSeq and is a predicted model, not a curated record. Lineage: Eukaryota; Metazoa; Chordata; Actinopteri; Centropomidae. The transcript has 3 exons.